This 132-nucleotide unclassified non-coding RNA is filed under the name uncultured Archaeorhizomyces. RNAcentral's name for it is "sequence contains ITS2". The record is from RNAcentral. Lineage: Eukaryota; Fungi; Ascomycota; Archaeorhizomycetes; Archaeorhizomycetales; Archaeorhizomycetaceae.
AAACCAAAUGGGCCCAAUUGGGUUCCGUGUUGGGCCUCGCCUCCAAUGAGGUGGCGUCGCCUCGAGGCCAUCGGUCUGAUGGGCGGACGAGCUCCUGUAGGACGGACCGUCCCUCGACCCACGCGACUUCUG